GGAUGUAAGGGCAAUCUGGCUGUGACAUCUGUCAUCCCAUUAGUUGCCAGGGUUGAUUUGACUGGCUAGGUGGGUGUCCCCUUCCUCCUUCACCACUCCCCAUAUGUGCCCUUUCCAAAGCUAUGCACCCUGUCGAAAAAGACUACCAUUCCUGGUAGAGGAGGUUCUUCAGUCAGUGGUAUACAAAUAGUUGCAUUCUUCCACUAGAACCUUGUUCUAGCUAGAACAAGCUCUCAAAGUGCUGACAUUACAGGUGUGAGCCACCACACCUG
Molecule: small nuclear RNA, 272 nt
Filed under: Carlito syrichta (Philippine tarsier)
Lineage: Eukaryota; Metazoa; Chordata; Mammalia; Primates; Tarsiidae
Description: 7SK RNA (ENSTSYG00000020336.2)
Rfam family: 7SK RNA
About the family: 7SK was discovered as an abundant small nuclear RNA in the mid-70s but a possible function has only recently been suggested.
Source: Rfam by way of RNAcentral